This 268-nucleotide ribosomal RNA is filed under the name uncultured bacterium. RNAcentral's name for it is "partial 16S ribosomal RNA". It matches the Rfam family "Bacterial small subunit ribosomal RNA", at positions 524 to 792 of the family's 1533-position model. The record is from RNAcentral.
UACGUAGGGGCGAGCGUUGUCCGGAAUCAUUGGGCGUAAAGCGCGUGUAGGCGGCCCGGUAAGUCCGCUGUGAAAGUCCAGGGCUCAACCCUGGGAUGCCGGUGGAUACUGUCGGGCUCGAGUCCGGAAGAGGCGAGUGGAAUUCCUGGUGUAGCGGUGAAAUGCGCAGAUAUCAGGAGGAACACCAAUGGCGAAGGCAGCUCGCUGGGACGUGACUGACGCUGAGACGCGAAAGCGUGGGGAGCAAACAGGAUUAGAACCCUACGCA